AUUUUAUAUAAAAACAAUAAAUGUGACUUUUAAAAAAACAAAACUAAGUUGUGGAGAAUGGUGACAAGGAAAACGUCAGACGAACUCUAAGGUUUCCUCCUUACACAACAAGCAAAGAACAUAACAGCUCCUUCACGUCUGCAGACCUCACUCAGAUCUCGUUUAGAGGAGCUGGCACACCAAGGUGGAGAUGGGUCUCUGCCUCAUCUCUCACAUCCAAACCAUUCUAUCAGUUUUACCUCCCAAGUGUCUCCCGUCUCCCCUUCCCCCAAAUUCUGCUGGGGCUUCUGUAGCCAGGCCUGUAUCUUCUCCCCUGACUGGGACCUUUUAAGAACAUUCUCAGAGACACCUAGCUCCGAAGUGACCCUGCACCACGUAUAUGUCAGUGAUCAUCCCCUGGACGGAUCCUCUCCUGUGCUUUGAGCC
RNAcentral lists this long non-coding RNA (426 nucleotides) under Fukomys damarensis (Damara mole-rat). RNAcentral's name for it is "lncRNA (ENSFDAG00000029837.1)". Lineage: Eukaryota; Metazoa; Chordata; Mammalia; Rodentia; Bathyergidae. The record is from RNAcentral.